This 94-nucleotide non-coding RNA is filed under the name pig gut metagenome. Its description in RNAcentral is "TPP riboswitch (THI element)". The stretch from base 7 to 89 matches the Rfam family "TPP riboswitch aptamer (THI element)", at positions 11 to 88 of the family's 105-position model. Rfam says of the family: Vitamin B(1) in its active form thiamin pyrophosphate (TPP) is an essential coenzyme that is synthesised by coupling of pyrimidine and thiazole moieties in bacteria. The previously detected thiamin-regulatory element, thi box was extended, resulting in a new, highly conserved RNA secondary structure, the THI element, which is widely distributed in eubacteria and also occurs in some archaea. Analysis of operon structures identified a large number of new candidate thiamin-regulated genes, mostly transporters, in various prokaryotic organisms. The record is from RNAcentral.
UCGAGCAGGGGCGCUGGUAGAUCCGGCUGAGAUCGUGCGUGUGCCGCACGGAACCCUUUGACCUGAUUCGGAUAAUGCCGACGGAGGGAAAUAC